GCGCUGAGGAGGGCACAGGGGACAUGCCUGACUCCGUCUGGGUGCCAGGCCCAGAGCCGGGCAUUUCCCAUAGUCAUCGGCCCCCUGCCCGCCCCCAGCAUGUCGAGGAAGGGAGGAGUAUUUUUAGUUCCAUCUUGAAGACGGGCACAGGAACGGAGAAUAACUGCCUGAAAGCACUGUCCCUGGUCUGAGCGGCCCUUGGAAAGGCUCAGCCUGGCCCAGGCCUUGCUGCUUCCCAUAACAGUUACAAGCACUGGCUCUGCCAUCGGAGAUGAAAGGGUACACGUGGGGUUCUCCGACCUUCCAGCCGUGUGACCUCGGACUGUUGAACCUACGCAGCUGACGUCAUGGUUGGCACGCAGCUUAGUCUUGUAUCUGGCUCCGUGGGGCACGUGGUGCCCUGUGCACACAUGCCCACCUCGCCCUGUUGGCCCCUCUGGGCACAACUGACUUUGGGAUAGGGACCAGAGCCUGAACUGUCCUGGGGGCCCAAUGUCAUUGGUGAUCCCCUAGUUGGAGAAUGCUCUCUGGCAGGGAGCAGGAGAGGAAGAGAGACUGAAGCUGGAGGAGGAUGCAGUGCAUGUGGCUGACUGGCAGGUGGAGGGGUCACCCAAGGAGGAAUGGGGGCCCUAGGGCAGAGAGCAGCCUCCGUGGACGCCAGCAAGGAAACAGGGGUGUCAGGCCUGUAACCUCAAGGACCCGGAUUCUGCCAGUGCCCGAGUGAGCCUGGGCAAAGAUUCCUCCCGGAGCCUCCAGGUUGGAGUCCAGCCCCACCACACCUUGAUUUUGGCCCAUGGGACCCUGAGCAGAGCCCAGCUGAACUCAUAUGGCAAGAAAGACCGGAGCUAAAAAGGAUGUUGUUUUAAGACACUAAGUAUAGGGCGAUCUGCUACACAGCAAUAGAAAACCACGGCAAAACCCACAUGGGUGAAGACACUGGGUUUGGGUUUGGACGUGCUGAGCUUGGGACGCUUUAGGACUUCCAGGUGGAGGAGUCCAGAAGGCAUUGUUUGCCCAUCCAUGGUGCCCUGAAGAGACCAAGAGGCUCACAUCAGAGGGUGGUCUCAGAGAGGCCGAGCGUGUGACAGCAGAAAAAUCGCUUGCCGUCUACACCCACCCUCCCUCUCUGCACGAGGACGUGGCACCAGAAAAUUGGCAGUCUUUUCCUAGCCUAAAGCACCGCAGUGAGCACCAACCAGUGGUUGCCAUCACCGGCCUCACUCCGAGUCCAGCUCCUGUGGCAGGAUAGCCGAGCUCUGCAGAGGGUCCCGGGCUGGGGCCUGGGGCUGCGUCCGCCAGGCGCUUCCCUGUCUCCUUAUGCUCCAGGGGCCGUUGGCUCUGGGGCAUGCAGGGGUCCCAGUGGUGCCUGUCUCUCAUCCUGCAUCCCUAUCACGCUGGCGCACACUAGGGCCCCUCGUACUGCUGAUGUCACAUGCUGACUGCUUGCCGCCUUCCGAGAGCCCGUCCUCUUCAUCCAGGGGCCCCAGCAAGUGAUGCCAUUUUAACACAAACUUCAAGAGCAAAGUUUGUGAAUCGGUUGCUUUGAGCCCAGGAGCUGUGUCUUGCCUGUGCCUGGCCUGCUUCCUAAAUUCCAGGGAUGCCUCCUGACCUCCAAGCCCACUCCUCAGCCCCCAUCGUCUCUACUUCCUUUUCAGGUUGCAUUCAACUCAGCCGUAAAACAGAUCAGGGCUGCCGGAUCCCCGCUGCUCAGAACAUGAGAUUUUCUCCUGGCAGUGGGAGGCCUGACAUCUUAUUAAAAACAGAGCAAAUGGCAUCAGUGGAAAGGUAGUAACUGAGUACCUGCUGUGUGCCUGGGGAUGUCUUCUGAGCUGGGACUGGAAAGAGGAGCGGAAGGAGAGGCUGAGCUGUGAGUAAGAUGUCUCCAGCCAAGCACGAGGCAGCCCAGCCUACUCAGCAGGGAGCAGAACACAGUGGCCCAACCUUUUUGGCACCAGGGACCAGUUUCAUGGAAGAUAAUUUUUCCACGGACGGGACAAAGGUGCCUCCAUGGCUGCACUGACAGUCUCCAGCACAAGAGAGGAGAAACAGCAUCGGAGGAGACAACAGUCUCCCUGCGUAUGCAAGACACGGUGCGGAAGUCAUCUCCCCAGCAUCUCAGCCCCUGCCCACUGCUGCUUGGGACAAGGUAAGCUGUGGGGGAGGCAGCCCGUGUCCUGGGAGCUUCCAGCUGGGACCCUGAUGACACAUCCCUGUGCAGUCCCAGUCCUUGGUGAUAAUGGAAGAUGGAGCUGAUCCAAGGAACUCGAGCCAGCCCAUUUGAAGAAUGUGUCUUAGGCUCCACGUCCACACUGGAAAGAAAUGAAAAUCCUAGGGACGGUGUCACAGGGCUAUCGAGGUGAUGCAGUGCCUGGUGUAAGAUGCGGAAAUGAAGGACUGGAUGGUCCCCAGAACUCUCCACUUCACCCCAGAUGCCUUCUCUCCGUACGGAGUGAGGACGCCUCAGAGGCACCCCGCGCCUGGGCUCAUCCCUGCUGCAAGUCCUCUGGGGCUCCCCCAGCAGCCUCCUGCCAGACAGCCCCCUCCGGCUCCGGCCUGUGAUCAAAUCCCGGCUCUGUCCUCAGCAGCGUUGCUCCUGGGUGACCUCCAGGACAGUUCCAGCUCAGGAUGGCUUUCUUCCGAGGCAUCCCUGUACCUGUCACAAUGCGAGCUCUCCAAAUACCAGUAAAUGAACAAACUCCAAGAGAAAAAGGACCAAGUCCACGAACAAGUCAAUCACCAAGAAAGAACUGAAAACAGCCGGGAGACCACCCAUGGACCUUGCCUCUCACAUGAGAUUCAAGCAACGACAUGGUGUCUGCUGUGACUGGUGGUGGUGCAGGGGCUCGUGGUGUGGGGACCAGCACGGGGGCAGCACUGACCCCAACCCCAGAUUCCUGGAAGGCAGCUUGGCCCGUGCCAUGGAAGGGUUUACAACACUCGCUCCCUUUGACCCAGCCAUUUUCUUCUGGUAAAGCCUCAUAAAGAAAUAGCUGGACGGGAGCCUUCGGCUGUGGAUGCAGCUGUGAUGGGCUCUGUAAAUUAUUAGCCACAGUCUGGUGCAAAGCUGGAAAUGAACAAAUUGUCCAUGGACAGAAGGGUAGUGAAGAGAGGAUGGAGCAGCCACAGAAGGUACACCAGGCAGCCAUUCUGACAGUGUGGAUUCGGGUUUAUUACUGUGGAAAAAUGUCCAUGGUGUAUAUUAUCGUGUGUGAGGCAGACCACGGGCAGCACGUCCCAAAUGGGGCCACUUUGUAAAUUCUCUCUCUCUUUCUCCAUCGCUCCAGCUCUCUAGCUGUGCAUAAGAAUAAUACAGAAUAUGAUGCUUAAAAACCUAUUUACCAACAUUGUAAUAGCUCCAGAGGAGGGCGGUGCCAGUGAUUUUCCUUCAUUUCAUCAUUCCUUCAGGUGUCGUCUUCAUUUUUUAUGUUUUUUGCAGUCAAUGCUUAUUACUUUAAUAACCAUAAAACUGUUAC
Molecule: long non-coding RNA, 3473 nt
Organism: Homo sapiens (human)
Lineage: Eukaryota; Metazoa; Chordata; Mammalia; Primates; Hominidae
Source: Ensembl